Molecule: long non-coding RNA, 3289 nt
Filed under: Homo sapiens (human)
Lineage: Eukaryota; Metazoa; Chordata; Mammalia; Primates; Hominidae
Description: non-protein coding UBL7-AS1:8
Source: RNAcentral
GGGGAAGGCGUGGCUUCCGCGCUCUUUGAAAUGUCCGGCGCCGGAAUGUCUGGGUGCUUUGGUUGGAGAGGGUCCCAUUUCCAGUCAUUCUUCAGCCUGGUGAUUCCCGCGCUCCCCUGAGGAGCAUAUGAAGUACGUCGGUUCUGCCAGGUUGGAACGCGCUGCUGGACACUCGGCCGUAAGGCGGAUCCCGGAUCCCCUCCCACUCCGACCCUUCCCUCCAGAAGGGCCGGUUCCCAAACGGCCCCUUUAGACACAUCCAAGCGGUUGCCGACGGCCCUCACGAUGAAAACUGCUGUCCGUUGGUGAAGGCAGCCUCUUCUGUGCUCCUCGCCGCUGACUUCCUGAGGCGGACCUACCUGUGGAGGCAUACCAGGAACCAGACGAUGACCCCCUCCAAAAGUUGGGUCUUUGAGGAGAGCUACUAACUUGGGUUCCUGGUACACCCUCUACAUGCAGUGGUGAAGCUUAUCUAACAGUCAUUCAUAGAAUCAGUUUGGGAAGGGGAAUUUUCACUGAACUCUCAUAGAGAAACUGUGUUUUAGAUAACAGAAAGUUCUGCACGGUUAAAAUGGAACAGAAAUUUUUUUGCACAGAAAUUAGGAUUACCGAAAAUACUGAAGAAAGACUACCUCUGAUUGGACUCUUCUCAAGGAAUUAAUAAUUCAAGAACUAAGGAAAGAAAAAAGUGAUUAUAUGAAAAUACUGAAGUUGAUCGUAGCAGCUGAAGGCUGAUCCUGUGUGGGUAAAUGUAAACGCUGAAUUCCCACAUUCCAAUGUGCGACCUGGGAUUAAGGCAGCAAUUGAGCAGGGUAAUGUUACUGAGGAGAGCGAACAGAUCGCAGGAUCUCAGAAGGCCUAACAUUAAAGGCAGAUCACCCCUCUGUUCUCAUAAGUUAUAUGGGGAGUUUUGAAAUGGCUUUCACUGUCUUCAGGGAGUUUAUCUUCAGGAUAACUCCCAUGUAUGUUGUGGGCGCAUUAGGAACCCAUGGCUGUUCCCAAAGUCUCCCUUUCCCAUCCUACCCAUUUUUAGAUAUACCCCCUCUUUCAGUAAUCCUUCCUAACUAGACUUCUUUAGACUCCUUCCUCUCCUGCCUACUAAGUUACUUGCACCUGAGCUCCAUAAUUUAUCAAAAUUAUAUAUUGUGAAUACUUUCCCAGUUCAUGAUUUUUUUUUUACUCUUAAUGGUAUUAGAUAAUUUAAUUUCAUUUUAAAACUUUUUUUUUUUUUUGAGACGGAGUCUUGCUCUGUCGCCCAGAUUGGAGUGCAGUAGUGGCCGAUCUCGGCUCACUGCACCCUCCGCCUCCCGGGUUCAAGAGAUUCUCAUGCCUCAGCCUCUUGAGGAGCUGGGGCUACAGGUACCUGCCACCACGCCCGGCUAAUUUUUGUAUUUUUAGUAGAGACGGGGUUUCACCACGUUGGCCAGGCUGCUCGAACUCCUGACCUCAGGUGAUCCCAAAGUGCUGGGAUUACAAGCGGUAGCCACCACGCCCGGCCUGAAAUUUUGUUGUGAUGGUUAGUGCCUUUUGUGUCCUAUGUAAGAAAUCUUUGCCUGCCCUCGUUAUGAAGAUACUAUCCUAGGUUUUCUUCUGUGUUAUUUUAUCUUUCACAUUUAGGUCUAUGAUUAAUUUCACAUUAAUCUUUGUAUAUGAUAGGAGUUAGACAUCAAGAUUCAUCUCUUCCAUAUGGGUGUACAAUUGAUCCAGCACUAUUUAAAAAUUUUGUUCCCACUGAAUUUCAGUGGCAGCUUUGUCAUAAAUCCGGUGACUAUGUAUGUCUGGGUCAAUUUUUGACUCUUAUUCUGUGCCAUGGGUGUAUUUUUCUGUCAUUGUGCCAAUGUCACACGUCUUGAUUUCUCUAACUUUAGAGUAGGUCUUGAUAUCUGCUAGCCUUUUGGCUUUAAGAGGGGCAUGGCUAUUCUAUCACCAAUAGAUGACAAUUGUUAACUUUGUUUUAUGCUUCUAAAAGUAUAAUUUUACUGAAUCUUAAAUAUGUAUAUUCAACAAAAUUUAGAUUACACUGUACAUUUGUUUAGUAAUCUACAUAUUUUACCUAGCUUGAAUAUUUCCCCUGUGCUCAAAUAUUCUUGAGACUUUUUACUUUGAAAUAAUUUCAAGUUUACAGUACAGUUGCAAAAAUAUUACAAAAUAAUGCCCUCAUACCCUUAACCCAAAGUCCCCAGUUGUUAAUAGUUUACAUUUACCUCAUCAUUCUUUCUCUCUCACUCUCUCACUAUGCAUAUUGUUCUUUUGUUUUUCCACCCGAUCCGUUUAAGAGCCAAUUACAGACAUUACCCAAAGUAUUUCUGUAUUUCCUGAAAACAAGGAUAUAUUCUAUGUCACAGCCACAGUACAACCCAGCAAAAUCAAGAAAUUAAUAAAUACAAUAAUACCAUGUAACUUACAAUCUCAUUCAGCUUUCAUCAACCAUUCCAGUUGGGUGGAGGCUGAUCAUCUCUCUGCCAUUUUCAUAAGUUAUGUCAUAGAUUUUCACAUCUGUCACAUCAUUCAUUUCUCCAAAGAGCCUUAGUUCCUUUUAGUAAGGAAUGGUAUUUAGAAGCCAAGUUUGGAUGCUAGGUGUGUUUAUUGCUACUGAGAUGUCAUUAUUUCCAGUCUAUUUCAGUGACUAGACCUAGCAAAUAAAUGAAUAUUGAUAUACACACCCAUUCAUCUAUAUUUCUAUGAAAUAUAUUUAAAUAUGUGUGCAUAUAGAUGUGUAUAUGUAUAUAUAGAUCUAUGUAUAUGUGAGCAUAUAUAUGUGCACAUAUAUCAAAAUAUAUAUGUAUAUAUAAAAUAUGAGUUCACACCAAUACCUCAAAUUCCAAUCCAAUACCACAUAUUUUCCUCUAGUCUUCCUCUUCUCUAUAAUUUUACCUCCCUUCUGCAAUAGUAGGAAACUUGAUUCUCAUUUUCCACAAUAUACUUGUAUUUUCUCAUGUUGACAUUCAUGGUACCUGAUAUGGUUUGGCUCUGUGUCCCCACCCAAAUCUCAUGUUGAAUUGUAAUCCUCAAUGUUGGAGGAGGGGCCUGGUGGGAGGUCAUGAUGUUUGGAUCAUGGGGCAGACUUCCCCCUUGCUGUUCUCAUGACAGUGAGUUCUCAAGAGAUCUGGUUGUUCAAAAGUGUGUAGCACUUCCCCCUUUGCCCUCUCUCUCCUGCUCUGCCAUGUGAAGAUGUGCUUGCUUCCCCUUCACGUUCUGCCAUGAUUGUAUGUUUCCUGUGGCUUCCCCAGCCAUGCUUCCUGUAUAGCCUGCAGAACUGUGCGUCAAUUAAAGCACUUUUCUUUAUAAA